This 435-nucleotide ribosomal RNA is filed under the name uncultured bacterium. RNAcentral describes it as "partial 16S ribosomal RNA". It matches the Rfam family "Bacterial small subunit ribosomal RNA", at positions 29 to 507 of the family's 1533-position model. The record is from RNAcentral.
AGCGAACGCUGGCGGCAGGCUUAACACAUGCAAGUCGAGCGGGCACCUUCGGGUGUCAGCGGCAGACGGGUGAGUAACACGUGGGAACGUACCCUUCGGUUCGGAAUAACGCUGGGAAACUAGCGCUAAUACCGGAUACGCCCUUAUGGGGAAAGGUUUACUGCCGAAGGAUCGGCCCGCGUCUGAUGAGCUAGUUGGUGGGGUAACGGCCUACCAAGGCGACGAUCAGUAGCUGGUCUGAGAGGAUGAUCAGCCACACUGGGACUGAGACACGGCCCAGACUCCUACGGGAGGCAGCAGUGGGGAAUAUUGGACCAUGGGCGCAAGCCUGAUCCAGCCAUGCCGCGUGAGUGAUGAAGGCCUUAGGGUUGUAAAGCUCUUUUGUCCGGGACGAUAAUGACGGUACCGGAAGAAUAAGCCCCGGCUAACUUCGUG